CUAAGGCUAAAUACUCUCUAGUGACCGAUAGUGAACCAGUACCGUGAGGGAAAGGUGAAAAGCACCCCGGAAGGGGAGUGAAAUAGAACCUGAAACCGUGUGCUUACAAGUAGUCAGAGCCCGUUAAUGGGUGAUGGCGUGCCUUUUGUAGAAUGAACCGGCGAGUUACGAUUUGAUGCAAGGUUAAGCAGUAAAUGUGGAGCCGUAGCGAAAGCGAGUCUGAAUAGGGCGUUUAGUAUUUGGUCGUAGACCCGAAACCAGGUGAUCUACCCUUGGUCAGGUUGAAGUUCAGGUAACACUGAAUGGAGGACCGAACCGACUUACGUUGAAAAGUGAGCGGAUGAACUGAGGGUAGCGGAGAAAUUCCAAUCGAACCUGGAGAUAGCUGGUUCUCUCCGAAAUAGCUUUAGGGCUAGCCUCAAGUGAUGAUUAUUGGAGGUAGAGCACUGUUUGGACGAGGGGCCCCUCUCGGGUUACCGAAUUCAGACAAACUCCGAAUGCCAAUUAAUUUAACUUGGGAGUCAGAACAUGGGUGAUAAGGUCCGUGUUCGAAAGGGAAACAGCCCAGACCACCAGCUAAGGUCCCAAAAUAUAUGUUAAGUGGAAAAGGAUGUGGCGUUGCCCAGACAACUAGGAUGUUGGCUUAGAAGCAGCCAUCAUUUAAAGAGUGCGUAAUAGCUCACUAGUCGAGUGACACUGCGCCGAAAAUGUACCGGGGCUAAACAUAUUACCGAAGCUGUGGAUUGUCCUUUGGACAAUGGUAGGAGAGCGUUCUAAGGGCGUUGAAGCAUGAUCGUAAGGACAUGUGGAGCGCUUAGAAGUGAGAAUGCCGGUGUGAGUAGCGAAAGACGGGUGAGAAUCCCGUCCACCGAUUGACUAAGGUUUCCAGAGGAAGGCUCGUCCGCUCUGGGUUAGUCGGGUCCU
RNAcentral lists this ribosomal RNA (924 nucleotides) under Staphylococcus aureus. Its description in RNAcentral is "partial 23S ribosomal RNA". It matches the Rfam family "Bacterial large subunit ribosomal RNA", at positions 460 to 1392 of the family's 2925-position model. Lineage: Bacteria; Bacillati; Bacillota; Bacilli; Caryophanales; Staphylococcaceae. The record is from RNAcentral.